RNAcentral lists this ribosomal RNA (544 nucleotides) under uncultured bacterium. RNAcentral describes it as "bacterial SSU rRNA". It matches the Rfam family "Bacterial small subunit ribosomal RNA", at positions 356 to 896 of the family's 1533-position model. The record is from RNAcentral.
GGGGAAUAUUGCACAAUGGGCGCAAGCCUGAUGCAGCGACGCCGCGUGAGGGAUGAAGGCCUUCGGGUUGUAAACCUCUUUCGUCAGGGAACAAGGCACUGCUUUUGGUGGUGUUGAGGGUACCUGGAUAAGAAGCGCCGGCUAACUACGUGCCAGCAGCCGCGGUAAUACGUAGGGCGCAAGCGUUGUCCGGAAUUAUUGGGCGUAAAGAGCUCGUAGGCGGCUGGUCGCGUCUGUCGUGAAAACUUCCGGCUCAACCGGGGGCUUGCGGUGGGUACGGGCCGGCUAGAGUGCGGUAGGGGUAACUGGAACUCCUGGUGUAGCGGUGGAAUGCGCAGAUAUCAGGAAGAACACCGAUGGCGAAGGCAGGUUACUGGGCCGUUACUGACGCUGAGGAGCGAAAGCGUGGGGAGCGAACAGGAUUAGAUACCCUGGUAGUCCACGCUGUAAACGUUGGGCACUAGGUGUGAGGCUCCUUUCCGGGGGUUUUGCGCCGUAGCUAACGCAUUAAGUGCCCCGCCUGGGGAGUACGGCCGCAAGGCUA